AACUCCUUUGCUUGUACCUGCAGAAGUAGAUUGAUAAAUGUUAUGGGUUUUAUGGAGUGUCCCAUCGUCUCCUUCUAGCUCUGGAACUUUAAUGUCUUCCGAUAGACAUAGCUCUGCAUACUGCUGAGUUAGCUGAUUUGUAGCUAUAGACUUCAGUUUAUCUUCAUUAGUCUUUAGCUUUUCUAUCUCAUUACCCAUACUGUCCACUUUUAUUGAAAGCGUAGUUAGGGUGCUAAGUAUUUUUUC
This 246-nucleotide long non-coding RNA is filed under the name Capsicum annuum. RNAcentral describes it as "long non-coding RNA (CANN_LNC005155)". Lineage: Eukaryota; Viridiplantae; Streptophyta; Magnoliopsida; Solanales; Solanaceae. The record is from RNAcentral.